RNAcentral lists this ribosomal RNA (631 nucleotides) under Salmonella enterica. RNAcentral's name for it is "partial 23S ribosomal RNA". It matches the Rfam family "Bacterial large subunit ribosomal RNA", at positions 1 to 651 of the family's 2925-position model. Lineage: Bacteria; Pseudomonadati; Pseudomonadota; Gammaproteobacteria; Enterobacterales; Enterobacteriaceae. The record is from RNAcentral.
GGGUUGUGAGGUUAAGCGACUAAGCGUACACGGUGGAUGCCCUGGCAGUCAGAGGCGAUGAAGGGCGUGCUAAUCUGCGAUAAGCGCCGGUAAGGUGAUAUGAACCGUUAUAACCGGCGAUACCCGAAUGGGGAAACCCAGUGUGAUUCGUCACACUAUCAUUAACUGAAUCCAUAGGUUAAUGAGGCGAACCGGGGGAACUGAAACAUCUAAGUACCCCGAGGAAAAGAAAUCAACCGAGAUUCCCCCAGUAGCGGCGAGCGAACGGGGAGGAGCCCAGAGCCUGAAUCAGCAUGUGUGUUAGUGGAAGCGUCUGGAAAGGCGCGCGAUACAGGGUGACAGCCCCGUACACAAAAGCGCAUAUGCUGUGAGCUCGAUGAGUAGGGCGGGACACGUGGUAUCCUGUCUGAAUAUGGGGGGACCAUCCUCCAAGGCUAAAUACUCCUGACUGACCGAUAGUGAACCAGUACCGUGAGGGAAAGGCGAAAAGAACCCCGGCGAGGGGAGUGAAAAAGAACCUGAAACCGUGUACGUACAAGCAGUGGGAGCCCCACCACUAAGCCAGUGGUGAACUCCACAUACGCAUCCUUUGCUGAGGAUAUGGUUAACGGAGCGAAAGCGACGUUCAACC